CCUACGGGAGGCAGCAGUAGGGAAUCUUCCACAAUGGGCGAAAGCCUGAUGGAGCAACGCCGCGUGGGUGAAGAAGGUCUUCGGAUCGUAAAACCCUGUUGUUAGAGAAGAAAGUGCGUGAGAGUAACUGUUCACGUUUCGACGGUAUCUAACCAGAAAGCCACGGCUAACUACGUGCCAGCAGCCGCGGUAAUACGGAGGGGGCAAGCGUUAUCCGGAUGUAGUGGGCGUAAGGGAACGCAGGCGGGCUUUUAAGUCGGAAGUGAAAGGCUUUGGACUUACCGGAGUAGGGCAUUGGAAACUGGGGGACUUGAGUGCAGAAGAGGUGAGUGGAACGCCAUGUGUAGCGGUGAAAUGCGUAGAUAUAUGGAAGAACACCAGUGGCGAAAGCGGCUCUCUGGUCUGUAACUGACGCUGAGGUUCGAAAGCGUGGGUAGCAAACAGGAUUAGAUACCCGAGUAGUC
This 464-nucleotide ribosomal RNA is filed under the name uncultured bacterium. RNAcentral's name for it is "partial 16S ribosomal RNA". It matches the Rfam family "Bacterial small subunit ribosomal RNA", at positions 338 to 795 of the family's 1533-position model. The record is from RNAcentral.